This 472-nucleotide ribosomal RNA is filed under the name uncultured bacterium. RNAcentral describes it as "partial 16S ribosomal RNA". It matches the Rfam family "Bacterial small subunit ribosomal RNA", at positions 28 to 507 of the family's 1533-position model. The record is from RNAcentral.
GACGAACGCUGGCGGCGUGCUUAACACAUGCAAGUCGAACGAUGAACCCGGAGCUUGCUCUGGGUGAUUAGUGGCGAACGGGUGAGUAACACGUGAGUAACCUGCCCUGGACUCUGGGAUAAGCGUUGGAAACGCCGUCGAAUACCGCAUAGGACCUUUGGUCGCAUGAUCUGGGGUGGAAAGUUUUUUCGGUCUGGGUUGGACUCGCGGCCUAUCAGCUUGUUGGUGAGGUAAUGGCUCACCAAGGCUUCGACGGGUAGCCGGCCUGAGAGGGUGACCGGCCACACUGGGACUGAGACACGGACGAGACUGCUACGGGAGGCAGCAGAGGGGAAUAUGGCACAAUGGGCGAAAGCCUGAUGCAGAAACGCCGCGUGCGGGAGGACGGCCUUCGGGUUGUAAACCGAUUUUAGUAGGGAAGAAGGGCUUCGGCUUGACGGUACCUGCAGAAAAAGGACCGGCUAACUACGUG